GACGAACGCUGGCGGCGUGCCUAAUACAUGCAAGUUGAGCGCUGAAGGUUGGUACUUGUACCGACUGGAUGAGCAGCGAACGGGUGAGUAACGCGUGGGGAAUCUGCCUUUGAGCGGGGGACAACAUUUGGAAACGAAUGCUAAUACCGCAUAAAAACUUUAAACACAAGUUUUAAGUUUGAAAGAUGCAAUUGCAUCACUCAAAGAUGAUCCCGCGUUGUAUUAGCUAGUUGGUGAGGUAAAGGCUCACCAAGGCGAUGAUACAUAGCCGACCGGAGAGGGUGAGCGGCCACAUUGGGACUGAGACACGGCCCAAACUCCUACGGGAGGCAGCAGUAGGGAAUCUUCGGCAAUGGACGAAAGUCUGACCGAGCAACGCCGCGUGAGUGAAGAAGGUUUUCGGAUCGUAAAACUCUGUUGAUAGGGAAGAACGUUGGUGAGAGUGGAAAGCUCAUCAAGUGACGGUAACUACCCAGAAAGGGACGGCUAACUACGUGCCAGCAGCCGCCGUAA
Molecule: ribosomal RNA, 513 nt
Filed under: uncultured bacterium
Lineage: Bacteria
Description: partial 16S ribosomal RNA
Rfam family: Bacterial small subunit ribosomal RNA
Source: RNAcentral